Molecule: ribosomal RNA, 908 nt
Filed under: uncultured bacterium
Lineage: Bacteria
Description: bacterial SSU rRNA
Rfam family: Bacterial small subunit ribosomal RNA
Source: RNAcentral
AGAGUUUGAUCCUGGCUCAGGAUGAACGCUAGCGGCAGGCCUAAUACAUGCAAGUCGAACGGUAAAUAUUUUAGCAAUAAGAUAUGAGAGUGACGUACGGGUGCGUAACACGUAUGCAACCUACCCAAAACAGGAGGAUAGCUCAGGGAAACUUGGAUUAACCCUUCAUAGGAUCGUAGAGUGGCAUCACUUAGCGAUUAAAACUCAGGUGGUUUUGGAUGGGCAUGCGAAUGAUUAGCUAGUUGGUAGUGUAACGGACUACCAAGGCGAUGAUCAUUAGGGGACCUGAGAGGGUGAUCCCCCACACUGGCACUGAGAUACGGGCCAGACUCCUACGGGAGGCAGCAGUAGGGAAUAUUGGUCAAUGGAUGGAAGUCUGAACCAGCCAUGCCGCGUGCAGGAAGACGGCCUUCUGGGUUGUAAACUGCUUUUGCCUGGGGAUAAAAGGGGCGUGCGCGCCACAUUGAAGGUACCAGGUGAAUAAGCCACGGCUAACUACGUGCCAGCAGCCGCGGUAAUACGUAGGUGGCAAGCGUUGUCCGGAUUUAUCGGGUUUAAAGGGUGCGUAGGCGGCUUUUUAAGUCAGUGCUGAAAUACCCCGGCUUAACCGGGGGGGUGGCAUUGAUACUGGGGAGCUUGAGUACAGACGAGGUAAGCGGAAUUGACGGUGUAGCGGUGAAAUGCAUAGAUAUCGUCAAGAACACCGAUAGCGAAGGCAGCUUACUAGAUUGUAACUGACGCUGAGGCACGAAAGUGUGGGGAUCAAACAGGAUUAGAUACCCUGGUAGUCCACACUGUAAACGUUGAUGACUCGCUGUUUGCGAUAUACGGCAAGCGGCUUAGAGCAAUCGAUAAGUCAUCCACCUGGGGAGUACGCCGGCAACGGUGAAACUCAAAGGAAUUGACGG